Molecule: small nuclear RNA, 106 nt
Filed under: Heterocephalus glaber (naked mole-rat)
Lineage: Eukaryota; Metazoa; Chordata; Mammalia; Rodentia; Bathyergidae
Source: RNAcentral
GUGCUCGCUCGCAGCACAUAUACUAAGAUUGGAACGAUACAGAGAAGAUUAGCAUGGUCCUUGCGCAAGGAUGACAUGCAAAUUCGGUGAAGCAUUCCAUAUUUAA